GGUUGUAGCUCAGUGGCAGAGCACUUGCCUAGCAUGUGUGAGGCACUGGGUUCGCUUCUCAGCACCA
RNAcentral lists this transfer RNA (67 nucleotides) under Marmota monax (woodchuck). RNAcentral's name for it is "tRNA.Ala". The record is from RNAcentral. Lineage: Eukaryota; Metazoa; Chordata; Mammalia; Rodentia; Sciuridae.